CCGUGAAAAGCUUGGAAACAGCAGAUCCCGAAUGGAUUCUUCUUUUCUGUCUCCCUAAAUCAUCGGUGACCACCUACAGAACAAAAAAAGAAACACACAAACACAGUCGAUUUUAAUUUUUUCUUUGAUUUCAAUCUGUUUUGUUCUUUCUCUUCCAACCGUUUUGGAUCUGCUCCUCUCGGCAGAUUGUUUUUGUUUCCUCUUCUUCUAUUUCAGAUGGGCGGUGGUGGGCGUCUUCUUCUCCUCCGUUUCAGGUGGUGAAGGCAGGUCUGACGGCGGCUGUGUUGCUGCUGGUGUUCGGCGAGCCGGGCGCUGCUACUGGAGGCCGAAUGAAGGGGGGGACUGGCGUUGCGAGAGGGUGGCCGGCUUCGGUGAAGGCCUGUCGAGGCUGGCUUCGGGUUCGUCAGGUGGAGAAGCUGGGAGACUGCGGCGGAGGGGAGAAGGAGCGGCGGCUCUGUGCAGGCCGAGAGGGAAGAUGACGGGGAGAUAGGGACUGCUGGAGGCGACCGGAGGAGAAGAAACCCACGGGUCCAAGCUGGGGAAGCAGCGAUCGUCUUCAACAGGAAGCGCCGGAGCUGCGGGUUGAUUUGGGUGGAGGCGCUGCUAUUGAGAGGAGAAGAAGACGCUGCUGAGGAAGGGGGUUUCGGCUGGAUCUGCUGGUGAGGGAGAAAGGAAAGAAGAAAAAAAAAUAAUCCGAUGGGGGCUCGGGGGCUGUUUGGCCAGUUG
Molecule: long non-coding RNA, 726 nt
Filed under: Populus tremula
Lineage: Eukaryota; Viridiplantae; Streptophyta; Magnoliopsida; Malpighiales; Salicaceae
Description: long non-coding RNA (PTRE_LNC001993)
Source: RNAcentral